Molecule: ribosomal RNA, 305 nt
Filed under: uncultured bacterium
Lineage: Bacteria
Description: bacterial SSU rRNA
Rfam family: Bacterial small subunit ribosomal RNA
Source: RNAcentral
UGCCUACGGGAGGCAGCAGUGAGGAAUAUUGGUCAAUGGCCGGAAGGCUGAACCAGCCAAGCCGCGUGAAGGACGAAGGUGCCAAGCAUUGUAAACUUCUUUUGUCAAGGGACAAAAUCAGGCUCGAGAGCCUGACCGAGGGUACUUGAAGAAAAAGCAUCGGCUAACUACGUGCCAGCAGCCGCGGUAAUACGUAGGGGGCAAGCGUUAUCCGGAUUUACUGGGUGUAAAGGGAGCGUAGACGGCUGUGCAAGUCUGAAGUGAAAGGCAAGGGCUCAACCUUUGGACUGCUUUGGAAACUGUGG